UUUAUUUGUUAAAUCUGGAAGCCCUCCUUCCUAUCCACCUGGUCUUCCUCUCUAGCUAGUAACCAGGACCUCUGUCAUUACUCAGGUUCCUGCAGAAAGGGUGGCGGGGAUGCUUCUGAACUCAAGCCUGACUUGGAUCACUGAUGUCCAGCGCCCCACUGCUACAGUAAGCUUGUUCUACAGGUUCCCAGAGGGGUCCCAGGAGGAAGCCACUGUGGCCAGCAGGAGUUGUGGGGUGGCUGACUGGGGACCCCAGGAGCGCCUGGCAGCCCAGAGCCAUGAAAUCAUGAUGCUGCAGCGUGUGCUGCGCAGAGACAGUAGCAAAGGGCUGAUGAAUUUAACAGGACAGCAUGGCUCCUCCUUUCUGGAAGUGGGGAAACCAAAGCAGGGUGGGCUCAGGGCAAGGUCAGGUGAGAGGGGCUGUCGGCAAACUUCCUUUCCUUCUUCCCUUGACUCGUAGCAGGGAGUCUUCCUGAACCUCUAAAAUCCAUAUUUCAUGAUUGACUCUUCUUCUAUCAGGCAAACCCUAAAUGGUGGUCAUGAUGCCUCAUGUCCCUUUGCCUGAGUCUCUUGUGGGGUCAGACACACACAGGGGUAGCUGGGGGCUGGUUGUAAGGUCCUUGCUUAGCAUCUGGACGGCCAUCUUAAGUGACAGCUGCCAUUUUAAGAAAAAUUUCACUUGUCCCACCCAAGAGCAUUUCUGAGAAAGGCUCACCACUCCCUCAUACUCACCCCACCCUUAACCACCCAUCUCUAAUCCCUCAGCCUGCCCCAAACCUGUAUUGCCUCUCUUGUCCAAGGAGAGAUGGCCUUUCUUUGUCAGCUUGACACAUAAACUCUCGUGUAUAUGUCUGCCUCACUUUCCUUUCAGCUGGGUCUUCACAGUGCAGAGCAGUUGGCCCUGGCACAUGCCUUCGGAAGCCUGGCCACCUGCUUGGGAAACUCAGUGAGAUACUGUCUCAAAAUUUUAAAAAUAAAUAAGUAAGUGCUGGAGGUAAACUCACAGGCAGAGCUCUUUUUGGUUCAAUCCCCAGUACUGCAAAAAAACAACACCAAUAACAACAACAAAAACCUGGCCAUGUGAGGCCAAAAUGUGGGGGGUUUCUGUGAAGAGAGAGACAAUGAGGAGACCACUUUUGAGCAGCGUGCAUUUCCCACCAUGGGUAAGGAGCACCUCUGCAAGUCCUGAAACCUGGUCUCCAAGAAAAGGAAACUUUGCUGCCUCCUCUGGUUGCUCUAGACACCUAGAGCUACAAUAAAAGGGACAGUGCCCAGGCUGAAGGCUUCCUGUUUAACUCACUGUUGAUCCGCUGCCUUGGCAAUGGCGAGUCUCUUUGGCCUCCUCACCCUACCCAGGGCUGGGCACCCAGCAGACCUCAAUCAAUCCCUUUUUCUCCCAAGGCCUCUCAUUCCUUAACAGCCUGUUCCUGUAGAUGGAUGGAGAAGAUCCUUUUCUGGCCCUGCUGGCAAAGGGCAGUGGUGUGCAGGACCCUUAGGAAGGACAGGCAGCUCUGCAACUGGGAAUGUGUCCUGGCCCUGUGUCCUUGGGACCUGCAGCUGAUAGCAUCUAGGCUGGGUCCAGGUGAUUGGCAAGUGGCACCCGGAUCCUACUCCAGGAAUUUAGAGAAAUAACGGAAUUCGGGCCAGGCGCAGCGGAACAUGCCUAUGAUCCCAGCGGCUUGGGAGGUGGAGACAGGAGAAUUGUGAGUUCAAAGCCAGCCUCAGCAACAGCAAGACACUAAGCAACUCAGUGAGACCCUGUCUCUAAAUAAAAUACAAAGUAGAGCUGGGAAUGUGGCUCAGUGAUCAAGUGCCCCUGAGUUCAAUUCCAGUUCCAAAAAAAAAAAAGAGAAUCAGGGAGGGGCUGUGUCAUGUUGAUGCUCUCCAUCAGCACAGUCUCAGUAUGUAACGGCACUGGUUUGCCGUUGUCUCAUGGACAUGUCUCCCACACUGGCCUGGUCUCUCAGGAAGAAGCAUAUGGUCACUACCAUGUCCUAGAGCCCUGCAGCAGGUGCUCAAUCAGUGCAUACUGAAUGAAGAGUAGAUGAGUGACAUCCAGAUUUCCCCCCAACCCUGCCUCCUCUCAGACCCCUGUGUCUUCCAGCUGUGAGAACUGGCUGGAAGGAAAUGACUCACCAUGGAGAGAUGCCACCAGGUCAGCCUCACACUUGUGCUCUUUUGUCCUAGGGGUCCCUUCUCAGGAAACAGGGACAGCACAGGUAACCACAGGGGAGGCCUAGGAGCACAGAUAAGAUGUGAUGCUUGUCUUAAGGAUUCUGCCUGACUGGGGACUCAAGGGCGCAGAGCUAGAGGUCCUUAUGGAAGUGAGUCAUGUGUUAUUCUUGGACUGGAGUUGUGGCUCAGAGGUAGAGUGCUUGCCUAGCCUGCAUGAGGCACUAGGUUCGAUCCUCAGCACCAC
RNAcentral lists this long non-coding RNA (2419 nucleotides) under Marmota monax (woodchuck). The stretch from base 2350 to 2418 matches the Rfam family "tRNA". Lineage: Eukaryota; Metazoa; Chordata; Mammalia; Rodentia; Sciuridae. The record is from RNAcentral.